GGUCGUGUCUGGCUCAACUGGUAGAGCAAGGCAUUAACACUGCCAGGGUAGGGGGUUCGAUUCCCACCCAUGCUAUUCA
Molecule: non-coding RNA, 79 nt
Organism: Merluccius polli (Benguela hake)
Lineage: Eukaryota; Metazoa; Chordata; Actinopteri; Gadiformes; Merlucciidae
Source: the annotation of a GenBank genome assembly